GGCCUCGUAGCUCAGCUGGUAGAGCAUGCGCGUACAAAGCGUAGGCGGUGUCCAUGCGUGGGUUCGAAUCCAACCGAGGCUA
Molecule: transfer RNA, 82 nt
Filed under: Echinostoma caproni
Lineage: Eukaryota; Metazoa; Platyhelminthes; Trematoda; Plagiorchiida; Echinostomatidae
Rfam family: tRNA
About the family: Transfer RNA (tRNA) molecules are approximately 80 nucleotides in length.
Source: Rfam by way of RNAcentral